AACAAACGCUGGCGGCGUGUCUUAAGCAUGCAAGUUGAGCGGCAAGGAGGAGAGAUCCUCCCUAGAGCAGCGGACUGGUGAGUAACGCGUGGGUAAUCUAUCUUAGGCAUGGGGAUAGUCACUAGAAAUAGUGGGUAAUACCGAAUAAGUUCCAUAAGGGGAGGACUUAUGGAAGAAAGGUGCUACGGCACUGGCCUUAGGUGAGCUCGCGUCCCAUUAGCUAGUUGGUGAGGUAAAGGCCCACCAAGGCGAUGAUGGGUAGCCGGCCUGAGAGGGUGUACGGCCACACUGGGACUGAGAUACGGCCCAGACUCCUACGGGAGGCAGCAGCUAAGAAUAUUCCGCAAUGGACGGAAGUCUGACGGAGCGACGCCGCGUGGAUGAAGAAGGCCGAAAGGUUGUAAAGUUCUUUUGCUAGGGGAGAAUAAGUGUGGGAGGGAAUGCCUGCACGAUGACAAGGACUAGCGAAUAAGUCCCGGCCAACUACGUGCCAGCAGCCGC
Molecule: ribosomal RNA, 501 nt
Filed under: uncultured bacterium
Lineage: Bacteria
Description: bacterial SSU rRNA
Rfam family: Bacterial small subunit ribosomal RNA
Source: RNAcentral